This 982-nucleotide unclassified non-coding RNA is filed under the name Hevea brasiliensis (rubber tree). The record is from RNAcentral. Lineage: Eukaryota; Viridiplantae; Streptophyta; Magnoliopsida; Malpighiales; Euphorbiaceae.
AGAGGACUGCGAUGAUGAUGAAAUGGAGCAUCUUAGAUCGUUUUCAUCCGGCGUUUUCCUUUCCACCGAAACAAAAACCUCGGAGUUAUUCGAGUCUGUAACUUCCUGUACAUCGUCUUUGUCGUCGUCGUCUUCGUCGGUGUAUACUUUCAGCUCUUCCUCCACGGAAGAAGAAAGUCAGCGGAAUUCACACGUGGAGUCGAAGCUUUGUAAUUCUAGAAUGCAGAAGACUAUUAGAAGCAAGGUAUUGUUUCCGGCAGUCAACCGCUUCGUCAAUACGUUCACUUCCAGUUUCAGGGAAUCGUCGGAGAUUGACCUAGGAGAUGGCCGUUUGCCAGACGCCAACCAGUUGGACCUCGCAGCCAGCAGCACAAGCAAACCAUCAAAGAUAACAACUACAAUAACAAUAAACAAUGGCGCCAUGUUGAACUUCUUUACAAUAUUUCGAGCGCUGAAAGUCAGAACAUUACUCGCAUCAUUUCUCAAGGCCUCCCAGGCAAAGUCUACGAAUGACAAGGGAAAAAUACGAGAAAAGACGAUGAUCUGGAGCUCUAACCAGAGCCUAACCAAGCCAAUAAUGGACAAGGGUUCAAAGGAAACGAAGCAAGGAAAGAGAUCAAGAGUGUUAGAACUGAACUUGGACUCCAUUAGAAGGGUCUUGGAAGCCAUGAAUAUUAGAAACAUUGGUCGCAGAGAAAGAAGAACAAAAAGCUGCCCUGGUUCAACUAAGUCCUCUCCAAUUCACCAGCGAUUUCCCGCUCAAAAUUAUACAAGUUCAUCAGCUGCCACUAAUAACAAUAUUCAGGCAGCUAUUGCUCAUUGUAAGAGAUCAUUCGGCCCAGAUGUUUAAUGUUUUAUUUUUUUAGCUUCUCUAUUAUAUAUAAUUUCCAUUACAAAUGCUCUCAAUAAAUUAAAAUCCAUUACAAUGAGAGUUUUGACAUGCUUUGUGUUCUGCCCUCCCAAUUAAUUGCCCUGAAUUCUC